RNAcentral lists this ribosomal RNA (470 nucleotides) under uncultured bacterium. RNAcentral describes it as "bacterial SSU rRNA". It matches the Rfam family "Bacterial small subunit ribosomal RNA", at positions 28 to 508 of the family's 1533-position model. The record is from RNAcentral.
GAUGAACGCUAGCGGCAGGCUUAACACAUGCAAGUCGAGGGGCAGCAUGAGGGUUAGCAAUAACCCUUGAUGGCGACCGGCGCAAGGGUGCGUAACGCGUGAGCAACUUGCCCGUUUCAGGGGGAUAACCGGUGGAAACGCCGACUAAUACCCCAUAGCAUCACAAGGAGGCAUCUCCAUGUGAUUAAAGAAUUUCGGAAACGGAUAGGCUCGCGUGACAUUAGCUAGAUGGCGGGGUAACGGCCCACCAUGGCGACGAUCAGUAGCCGAACUGAGAGGUUGAUCGGCCACAUUGGGACUGAGACACGGCCCAGACUCCUACGGGAGGCAGCAGUGGGGGAUAUUGCGCAAUGGGGGAAACCCUGACGCAGCAACGCCGCGUGCAGGAUGACGGCCUUCGGUUGUAACUGUUGUCGCAAGGAAGAAAAAAUAGACGGUACCUUAGUGAGAAGCCACGGCUAACUACGUAG